CAGCAGCCACGGGAAUACGGAGGGUGCAAGCGUUAUCCGGAUUCACUGGGUUUAAAGGGUGCGUAGGCGGAUCUGUAAGUCAGUGGUGAAAUCUCCAGGCUUAACCUGGAAACUGCCGUUGAUACUAUAGGUCUUGAAUUUUGUGGAGGUUAGCGGAAUAUGUCAUGUAGCGGUGAAAUGCAUAGAUAUGACAUAGAACACCAAUUGCGAAGGCAGCUGGCUACACAACUAUUGACGCUGAGGCACGAAAGCGUGGGGAUCAAACAGGAUUAGAUACCCCGGUAGUCCCUGUCUCUAUACA
Molecule: ribosomal RNA, 301 nt
Filed under: uncultured bacterium
Lineage: Bacteria
Description: partial 16S ribosomal RNA
Rfam family: Bacterial small subunit ribosomal RNA
Source: RNAcentral